GGAGGGAUGGCCGAGUGGUUUAAGGCACUAGUCUUGAAAACUAGCGUGGAUGAAAGUCCACCGUGGGUUCGAAUCCCACUCCCUCCGCCA
This 90-nucleotide transfer RNA is filed under the name Vitreimonas silvestris. RNAcentral's name for it is "Caulobacteraceae bacterium 0127_4 tRNA-Ser". It matches the Rfam family "tRNA". From Rfam's summary of the family: Transfer RNA (tRNA) molecules are approximately 80 nucleotides in length. Their secondary structure includes four short double-helical elements and three loops (D, anti-codon, and T loops). Further hydrogen bonds mediate the characteristic L-shaped molecular structure. tRNAs have two regions of fundamental functional importance: the anti-codon, which is responsible for specific mRNA codon recognition, and the 3' end, to which the tRNAs corresponding amino acid is attached (by aminoacyl-tRNA synthetases). tRNAs cope with the degeneracy of the genetic code in two manners: having more than one tRNA (with a specific anti-codon) for a particular amino acid; and 'wobble' base-pairing, i.e. permitting non-standard base-pairing at the 3rd anti-codon position. Lineage: Bacteria; Pseudomonadati; Pseudomonadota; Alphaproteobacteria; Hyphomonadales; Hyphomonadaceae. The record is from RNAcentral.